RNAcentral lists this ribosomal RNA (1019 nucleotides) under bacterium enrichment culture clone 13(2012). RNAcentral describes it as "bacterial SSU rRNA". It matches the Rfam family "Bacterial small subunit ribosomal RNA", at positions 494 to 1512 of the family's 1533-position model. The record is from RNAcentral.
UGACUGACUGAGUGCCAGCAGCCGCGGUAAUACGUAGGUGGCAAGCGUUGUCCGGAAUUAUUGGGCGUAAAGCGCGCGCAGGCGGUUCCUUAAGUCUGAUGUGAAAGCCCCCGGCUCAACCGGGGAGGGUCAUUGGAAACUGGGGAACUUGAGUGCAGAAGAGGAGAGCGGAAUUCCACGUGUAGCGGUGAAAUGCGUAGAGAUGUGGAGGAACACCAGUGGCGAAGGCGGCUCUCUGGUCUGUAACUGACGCUGAGGCGCGAAAGCGUGGGGAGCGAACAGGAUUAGAUACCCUGGUAGUCCACGCCGUAAACGAUGAGUGCUAAGUGUUAGAGGGUUUCCGCCCUUUAGUGCUGCAGCAAACGCAUUAAGCACUCCGCCUGGGGAGUACGGCCGCAAGGCUGAAACUCAAAGGAAUUGACGGGGGCCCGCACAAGCGGUGGAGCAUGUGGUUUAAUUCGAAGCAACGCGAAGAACCUUACCAGGUCUUGACAUCCUCUGACAACCCUAGAGAUAGGGCGUUCCCCUUCGGGGGACAGAGUGACAGGUGGUGCAUGGUUGUCGUCAGCUCGUGUCGUGAGAUGUUGGGUUAAGUCCCGCAACGAGCGCAACCCUUGAUCUUAGUUGCCAGCAUUAAGUUGGGCACUCUAAGGUGACUGCCGGUGACAAACCGGAGGAAGGUGGGGAUGACGUCAAAUCAUCAUGCCCCUUAUGACCUGGGCUACACACGUGCUACAAUGGAUGGAACAAAGGGCAGCGAAGCCGCGAGGUGAAGCCAAUCCCAUAAAACCAUUCUCAGUUCGGAUUGCAGGCUGCAACUCGCCUGCAUGAAGCCGGAAUCGCUAGUAAUCGCGGAUCAGCAUGCCGCGGUGAAUACGUUCCCGGGCCUUGUACACACCGCCCGUCACACCACGAGAGUUUGUAACACCCGAAGUCGGUGGGGUAACCUUUUGGAGCCAGCAGCCGAAGGUGGGACAGAUGAUUGGGGUGAAGUCGUAACAAGGUAGCCUCAGUCAGUC